AGCAUAGCCACGGUAAUACGGAGGGUGCAAGCGUUAAUCGGAAUUACUGGGCGUAAAGCGCACGCAGGCGGUCUGACAAGUCAGAUGUGAAAUCCCCGGGCUUAACCUGGGAACUGCAUUUGAAACUGUCAGGCUGGAGUCUUGUAGAGGGGGGUAGAAUUCCAGGUGUAGCGGUGAAAUGCGUAGAGAUCUGGAGGAAUACCGGUGGCGAAGGCGGCCCCCUGGACAAAGACUGACGCUCAGGUGCGAAAGCGUGGGGAGCAAACAGGAUUAGAUACCCCUGUAGUCCCUGUCUCUUAUACA
Molecule: ribosomal RNA, 303 nt
Filed under: uncultured bacterium
Lineage: Bacteria
Description: partial 16S ribosomal RNA
Rfam family: Bacterial small subunit ribosomal RNA
Source: RNAcentral